This 793-nucleotide non-coding RNA is filed under the name Trigonopterus sp. 5 AH-2016. The record is from RNAcentral. Lineage: Eukaryota; Metazoa; Arthropoda; Insecta; Coleoptera; Curculionidae.
GAGGGGUUUUUGGCCCAAAGUUUACUAUAAGUGGUAGAUUUAUAUGCAUAUUUAAGAGGGAUAAAGCAAUAAUUUUAAAUAGAUAAAGUGCUAGGUUGGAAAUUGCAGUAAAUGAGCUUAUUAAUUCAGGGGACUGAGAAAUGGUUAAUGCAUGAAAUAUAAACAAAGUUUGUGCCAGCAGUUGCGGUUACACUUACUAUGUGAUGGUAAAUUUUUUAUGGUUUUAAGAGGACUAAGAAUGAGGAGUUGAAUGGUAAAUUUAUUAGGUGAAAUUUUAAAUUGUUUAAAGGCUAAUUGAAAGUUCAAGUUGUAUGUGUUAGUAAAAUUUUAUUAUAGACUAGGAUUAGAUACCCUAUUAUAAAAAUGGUAAAUUUAAUAAACUGAAUUAGUAGUAGUUAUAUUCUUGAAAGUUAAGGGAGUUGGCGGUUUUCUAGUCUAUUCAGAGGAACUUGUCUCAUAAUUGAUGGUCCACGAUAAGAUAUACUUGUUUUUUUAAUUUACAUAUCGCCGUAGGUUGAAUAUUUCUUUAGAGUUAAAAUAUUCAAGAUUUUUAUUGUAAGGAUAUCAGGUCAAGAUGUAGUUAAUAAAUAAGGGGAGGGUGAGUUACAAUAAAUUUAUUUAUAUGAAUAUAAGGUUUAAAUAUUUUAAAGAAGGUGGAUUUGAAGGUAAUUUUAAAAAAAUUUUUUUUUAGUGAUUUAAGCUCUAGGAUAUGCACAUAUCGCCCGUCGCUUUCAUCCCAAGGUGAAAUAAGUCGUAACAAAGUAGAUGUACUGGAAAGUGCUUCUAGAAAGGC